Molecule: small RNA, 2179 nt
Filed under: Pongo abelii (Sumatran orangutan)
Lineage: Eukaryota; Metazoa; Chordata; Mammalia; Primates; Hominidae
Description: retained intron
Source: RNAcentral
AAGCAAGAUAGGACCCCCAGCCAUGGGGGCACACUUGGGACACCUGGGCUCAGGCCCAGCCCUAUUGCCAAAUCAUGAAUGUGCCCCUCUCUGAGCCUGACGAUCCCUGUAAGUUAAUUGGGGGUGGCUUCCCUUGCCCAGGGAGAGACAAUCAGUAUGACAGUAUCUAUGACCUGCAAAAAUGAGCAAUUUAGCAUGUCAGUCAUUUAUACUUCAUUAAUCCCAUAGCAACCCUCCAAGAGGGCCCUUUUAUGAUCCCCAUUUUACAAUGGGGAAAUUGAGGCACGGGGGGUUAAUUUGCUCAGUCUGUUUGCUCACAGACUCAGCAGAUGGCCAAGGUGGUACUUAGGCCAAGGCAGUCUGGCCCCAAUGCCCAUGCUGGGAAUUGCUGGGGAUCACAGUCCUCUGUGCCUCUCUCACCACAAAACUGGAACCUCACAAACUCCCUGCCACUAGGCAGGGCCUCCCCAGCCCCUACUGGCCUGCCCCACCUCCAUCUAUAAGCACGGCACAUUUGGACUGGGCCAUCACGUUCCCCUCAGAACAGCCCUGACAAAUGUACCAGUGCAUGUGAGUACAUAUAUGCAUGUGCACGCAUAUGUGUGCACCUGUGUGCACGUGUGGGUGGGUGUUUACUACCAAGAAGCAACAGACAGCCGUGAGCCUCACUCACCCCACCUAGGGGGUGGGAAGCCCAGGGGUGGGGCAGAUGUUUGCUGUGAGCAUUACUCAAGAGAGAGAAGCUGAUAUUUCAGCCACAUCAAAAAGCCCUGCCCCAACAUUAAAAUCACAUUCCAUUGCCACCAGCCCCAUAAAGGGCUUCCCUGGAUGUGCCUGAUUUCCAAAGCCUAAUCUUUGGGGUCACAUCUCCACCUCUAUCUGCCAGUGUUGGUGCCCCUCUGGGGCCCAGCAGCACUAAGACAGGCAGAAGGCACGGGGCUGGAGAAGGCACGGGGAGGGAGAAGGAACCCCUAGACCCUGAUCACUACUGCCCUUCGGCUUUUCAGCCACACCGGUGAGCCCCGCCAUGUCUUACCUGAGUGAGUACACGCUGGCAGCUACCACUCCUCCCACUGCUUAGAGCCUGCCCCUGCCAUGUGUCCCUCCGCAGUGGCUACUCACUCAGCUCUCCAGGAUGGGCAGAUGGACAGUGUGCCCUGAGGAGAUUGCGGGGUGGGAGGGCAAUGGCAUUAGCAAGCGGGAAGGGGAGGGGCAUAAGCUGAACUCCUAUGGGGGUCGUCGGGCGCCUCCCAGGGCCACUUGCUUAGCUCAGCACCCUCUCCCUUUGUAUCUGCAGCCAGCUACCAGCCUCCUCAAAACCCCUACUACUACGUGGAUGGGGACCCCCACUUCAUCAUCCAAGUUCCGGAGAAAGACGAUGCCCUCUGCUUCAACAUCGAUGAAGCCCCAGGCACAGUGCUGCGCCUUAUUCAGGACCCAGUCACAGGCCUCACAGUGAACGGGCAGAUCAUCGGCGACAAGAGAGGCAGCCCCGACUCCAAGACCAAAAAGACUUACUUUGGAAAACUGGGCAUUGCCAAUGCUCAGAUGGACUUCCAGGUGGAGGUGACAACGGAGAAGGUCACCCUGUGGAACAGGGCCGUGCAGAGCACUUUCAGCUGGCUGGACACAGUCACAGUCAUGCAGGAUGGGCUGUCCAUGAUGAUCAACAGGAAGAACAUGGUGGUCUCCUUUGGAGAUGGGGUUACCUUUGUGGUCGUCCUACACCAGGUGUGGAAGAAACAUCCUGUCCACCGUGACUUUCUAGGUUUCUACGUGGUGGACAGUCACCGGAUGUCAGCACAGACGCAUGGGCUGCUGGGGCAAUUCUUCCAACCCUUUGACUUUAAAGUGUCUGACAUCCGGCCAGGCUCUGACCCCACAAAGCCAGAUGCCACACUGUUGGUGAAGAACCAUCAGCUGAUUGUCACCAGGGGCUCCCAGAAAGACUACAGAAAGGAUGCCAGCAUCGGCACGAAGGUUGUGUGCUGGUUCGUCCACAACAACGGAGAAGGGCUGAUUGAUGGUGUCCACACCGACUACAUUGUCCCCAACCUGUUUUGAGUAGACACGCUGGCUCAUGUUGGGAUGGAUGGCCCAGAUUUUGUGGCAUCUGGAACAUGGGCACAGAGAGGGGUCUGUGGGAGGGGCUGGAAAAAUAAAGUCCAAGGUCGAGACC